This is a long non-coding RNA of Galeopterus variegatus (Sunda flying lemur), 507 nucleotides long. RefSeq lists it as uncharacterized. NCBI's taxonomy places the organism in Eukaryota, Metazoa, Chordata, Mammalia, Dermoptera, Cynocephalidae. The transcript has 3 exons. The record is from RefSeq and is a predicted model, not a curated record.
UACUCUUGCUGGUGUUUUAUUGUGCAGCUGUUGGAGAAACACAGAGAGCCACGAGGAAGAUACUUGGGAGACUAACUAGGCUACAAACUUAUGACGAUCUCUGGAGCCCUCCAGUGGAGAAGAGAAUGAAGUAAACAGUAAACUACUCCUGGACUGUACUGGUGUUUGGUGGAUUCGAUCAGCGGGCCUUAAUUUGCCAACCUCCGCUGUAUUCCAAAGGAUCAUAAAAUCACAGAAUUUCAGAAUAUUUCUCCAAAGUCUUUGAAGAAUACAGAAGUGGAAUAUUUCAAGUAAAAACUAGAAUAUUAAUCAGGAAUUAACGAUACCUGGUUUUAACUUCAGGCUCUGCUUUGCAUGCUGGUCAUUUUCAACAUCUCCUUUAUCUGUGGCAUAAAGAGAGUGUUAUAUCUGUCUCUUUUGGCACAAGAGAGCUACAAAAAUAAAUGACACACUGAGCUUCAGCAUAAUUCCUCAGUUAAUCACAAUGCUGUGUACACAUUACGGUAA